Molecule: ribosomal RNA, 253 nt
Filed under: uncultured bacterium
Lineage: Bacteria
Description: partial 16S ribosomal RNA
Rfam family: Bacterial small subunit ribosomal RNA
Source: RNAcentral
UACGGAGGGUGCGAACGUUAAUCGGAAUCACUGGGCGUAAAGCGCGCGUAGGCGGUCUGUUAAGUGGGAUGUGAAAUCCCCGGGCUUAACCUGGGAAUUGCAUUUCAAACUGGCCGACUAGAGUACGGUAGAGGGAGGUAGAACUUCCUGUGUAGCGGUGAAAUGCGUAGAUAUAGGAAGGAAUACCAGUGGCGAAGGCGGCCUCCUGGAUCGAUACUGACGCUGAGGCGCGAAAGCGUGGGGAGCAAACAGG